RNAcentral lists this ribosomal RNA (484 nucleotides) under uncultured bacterium. RNAcentral describes it as "partial 16S ribosomal RNA". It matches the Rfam family "Bacterial small subunit ribosomal RNA", at positions 28 to 523 of the family's 1533-position model. The record is from RNAcentral.
GACGAACGCUGGUGGCGUGCUUAACACAUGCAAGUCGGACGAUGAAGCCGGAGCUUGCUCUGGUGAAUUAGUGGCGAACGGGUGAGUAACACGUGAGUAACCUGCCCUUGACUCUGGGAUAACUGCGGGAAACUGUAGCUAAUACCGGAUACGACCCUCGGAGGCAUCUCCUGGGGGUGGAAAGAAUUUCGGUCAAGGAUGGACUCGCGGCCUAUCAGCUAGUUGGUGAGGUAAAGGCUCACCAAGGCGACGACGGGUAGCCGGCCUGAGAGGGUGGCCGGCCACACUGGGACGGAGACACGGCCCAGACUCCUACGGGAGGCAGCAGUGGGGGAUAUUGCACAAUGGGCGCAAGCCUGAUGCAGCAACGCCGCGUGAGGGAUGACGGCCUUCGGGUUGUAAACCUCUUUUAGCAGGGAAGAAGCGAAAGUGACGGUACCUGCAGAAAAAGCACCGGCUAACUACGUGCCAGCCGCCGCAGUAA